Molecule: ribosomal RNA, 422 nt
Filed under: uncultured bacterium
Lineage: Bacteria
Description: bacterial SSU rRNA
Rfam family: Bacterial small subunit ribosomal RNA
Source: RNAcentral
GAUGAACGCUGGCGGCGUGCCUAAGACAUGCAAGUCGAGUGGGUUUAGACCCACGGCGAACGGGUGAGUAAUACCUAGGAACUUUCUUUAAGUGGAGGAUAACCAGCCGAAAGGUUGGGAUAAUACUUCACGUGGCAGUAAUGCUAAAGUCGCAAGACGCUUAAAGUGAGGCCUGGGCACCAUCAGCUAGUUGGUAAGGUAAUGGCUUACCAAGGCUAUGACGGUUAGGGUCCCGAGAGGGAUAACCCCCACACUGGAACUGCGACACGGUCCAGACUCCUACGGGAGGCAGCAGUUUGGAAUUUUGGACAAUGGGCGAAAGCCUGAUCCAGCGACGCCGCGUGGACGAUGAAGGCCUUCGGGUCGUAAGUCCUUUUGCUCGGGAACAAUAUUUUGAGUCGUACCGAGAGAAUAAGAGGUUG